AUAUCUUGGUGUAGACAAUUUAUCUUCAUUUUGUAAUUAUAAAACAAAAAAUGUUUUUAAACUUUAUGAUUUACCUUUAACUCUAAACUCUUUACUGAAGUUCAAUGUUUGCUCUGAGAAGUUGAAUGAACAAAUUUAUUAAAUGAUAAAGUUGUGUCCUUGAAAGAUAUGCUGGUAUUAUUGGCACAAUGGGCAAGCAUUGAGGUGCAACUUGGUGAAAUACAAAACACAUCAAAUUCAGUUAUAAAAAUUUGAGUAACAAAGGUCAAUUAUUUGGCACAAUUUGGAGUUAAAGACAAAGGAGA
This is a long non-coding RNA of Hydra vulgaris (swiftwater hydra), 305 nucleotides long. RefSeq lists it as uncharacterized. The record is from RefSeq and is a predicted model, not a curated record. Lineage: Eukaryota; Metazoa; Cnidaria; Hydrozoa; Anthoathecata; Hydridae.